RNAcentral lists this ribosomal RNA (462 nucleotides) under uncultured bacterium. Its description in RNAcentral is "partial 16S ribosomal RNA". It matches the Rfam family "Bacterial small subunit ribosomal RNA", at positions 28 to 507 of the family's 1533-position model. The record is from RNAcentral.
GACGAACGCUGGCGGCGUGCUUAACACAUGCAAGUCGAGCGGAAAGGCCCUUCGGGGUACUCGAGUGGCGAACGGGUGAGUAACACGUGAGUAACCUGCCCUAGGCUUUGGGAUAACCCCGGGAAACCGGGGCUAAUACCGGAUAUGACCUGGUGCCGCAUGGUGUUGGGUGGAAAGUUUUUUCGGCCUGGGAUGGGCUCGCGGCCUAUCAGCUUGUUGGUGGGGUGAUGGCCUACCAAGGCGAUGACGGGUAGCCGGCCUGAGAGGGCGACCGGCCACACUGGGACUGAGACACGGCCCAGACUCCUACGGGAGGCAGCAGUGGGGAAUAUUGCACAAUGGGCGGAAGCCUGAUGCAGCGACGCCGUGUGAGGGAUGAAGGCCUUCGGGUUGUAAACCUCUUUCAGCAGGGACGAAGCGUGAGUGACGGUACCUGCAGAAGAAGCGCCGGCCAACUACGUG